Molecule: ribosomal RNA, 621 nt
Filed under: Aphelenchoides sp. J09 SAS-2008
Lineage: Eukaryota; Metazoa; Nematoda; Chromadorea; Rhabditida; Aphelenchoididae
Description: eukaryotic LSU rRNA
Rfam family: 5.8S ribosomal RNA (bases 303-456)
Source: RNAcentral
UGCUGAUGGAUCACUAACGUCCACAAACGACUACUUGUUACUUGAAAGUAAGAAAAUCAUUGAGGUUUGAACUUCCAAGUGCAACAAAGCUGACURUCUAGGUCUAAAAAGCCUCAACAGUUUCAGCAUUUAACGGCUUGCUUGGGUAUCUAUGGUUGGUUGAGCAGUUGUGUCACACGUCCGUGGCUGCUAAGACACURRCCGGUAGAGUCGCUUURAUGGCUGACUUUAGAUUCGAUGACCCGUUGUGGCGCCCAAGAAUCAUUAUUCAUUUAAAUACUUUUAUGAACUAAAUAGCAAUUUAGCUAUAUCGGUGGAUCACUUGGCUCGUAGAUCGAUGAAGAACGCAGUGAAUUGCGUUAAGAAUCACGAAUUACAGAUAUUAUGAGUGAUAUGUUUUCGAUUGCAUAUUGCACCGUUGGGCAUUUGCUCAUCGGUAUACCCAAUUCAGGGUGUGUAUCCCAAUCAAAUUGAUACAAUGCACUUGUUGGUUGUGUCAAAAUUCAUAAGUUGUUGUUUUGUGUAGAAAGGCCAUUGUGUGUUUUAAAAUGAAAGUUAUAAGACAUGCAUGGACGACAAAGCAGCGAUUUAACCGAAUCUACCUGAAUUGGAUAUGAUCAC